GACGAACGCUGGCGGCGUGCUUAACACAUGCAAGUCGAACGGAAAGGCCCCUUUGGGGGUCCUCGAGUGGCGAACGGGUGAGUAACACGUGAGUAACCUGCCCUUGACUUCGGGAUAACUUCAGGAAACUGGGGCUAAUACCGGAUAGGAAUCCUUGCUGCAUGGUGGGGGAUGGAAAGCUUCGGCGGUUUUGGAUGGACUCGCGGCUUAUCAGCUUGUUGGUGGGGUAGUGGCUUACCAAGGCUUUGACGGGUAGCCGGCCUGAGAGGGCGACCGGCCACAUUGGGACUGAGAGACGGCCCAGACUCCUACGGGAGGCAGCAGUGGGGAAUAUUGCACAAGGGGCGGAAGCCUGAUGCAGCAACGCCGCGUGCGGGAUGACGGCCUUCGGGUUGUAAACCGCUUUCAGCAGGGGCGAAGCUUGUGGUGACGGUACCUGCAGAAGAAGCACCGGCUAACUACGUG
RNAcentral lists this ribosomal RNA (465 nucleotides) under uncultured bacterium. Its description in RNAcentral is "partial 16S ribosomal RNA". It matches the Rfam family "Bacterial small subunit ribosomal RNA", at positions 28 to 507 of the family's 1533-position model. The record is from RNAcentral.